GACAGAGGCCCCAAGCGUUAGGCGGAAUCACUGGGCUUAAAGCGUGUGUAGGCGGAUCGUUAAGUGUCUUGUGAAAUCCCACGGCUCACCCGUGGAACUGCUGGGCAUACUGGCGAUCUUGGGCCAACUAGGGGCAGUCGGAACAAGCGGUGGAGCGGUGAAAUGCGUAGAUAUCUGGAGGAAUACCGGUGGCGAAGGCGGCAUCCUGGACCGGCAUUGACGCUGAGGAGCGAAAGCUAGGGGAGCAAACGGG
This 253-nucleotide ribosomal RNA is filed under the name uncultured bacterium. RNAcentral describes it as "partial 16S ribosomal RNA". It matches the Rfam family "Bacterial small subunit ribosomal RNA", at positions 524 to 776 of the family's 1533-position model. The record is from RNAcentral.